ACGGGAGGCAGCAGUCGGGAAUAUUGCACAAUGGGGGAAACCCUGAUGCAGCGACGCCGCGUAAAGGAAGAAGGUCUUCGGAUUGUAAACCUCUGUCUUUGGUGACGAAGAAGUGACGGUAGCCAAGGAGGAAGCCACGGCUAACUACGUGCCAGCAGCCGCGGUAAUACGUAGGUGGCAAGCGUUAUCCGGAAUUACUGGGUGUAAAGGGAGCGCAGGCGGGAUAGCAAGUCAGCGGUGAAAAUUAUGGGCUUAACUCAUAAACUGCCGUUGAAACUGUUAUUCUUGAGUGGAGUAGAGGCAGGCGGAAUUCCGAGUGUAGCGGUGAAAUGCGUAGAUAUUCGGAGGAACACCAGUGGCGAAGGCGGCCUGCUGGGCUCUAACUGACGCUGAGGCUCGAAAGUGUGGGGAGCAAACAGGAUUAGAUACCCUGGUA
This 436-nucleotide ribosomal RNA is filed under the name uncultured Oscillospiraceae bacterium. RNAcentral's name for it is "bacterial SSU rRNA". It matches the Rfam family "Bacterial small subunit ribosomal RNA", at positions 341 to 792 of the family's 1533-position model. The record is from RNAcentral. Lineage: Bacteria; Bacillati; Bacillota; Clostridia; Eubacteriales; Oscillospiraceae.